This 3513-nucleotide long non-coding RNA is filed under the name Sus scrofa (pig). Its description in RNAcentral is "lncRNA (ENSSSCG00065032809.1)". Lineage: Eukaryota; Metazoa; Chordata; Mammalia; Artiodactyla; Suidae. The record is from RNAcentral.
GUCCAAGUCAAGCAAAUGCAAUUUGGCAUAGCAUUUUUAAAGUUUGUUGUUUAGCACUUUGACCUAAAUUACUUUCUUGUUAAUUUUUAAAGCAACAUUUUAAAAAUUUACAUCAAGGUUAAAUUAAAACUCACAAGAUACCAAGUCACAAGUUUACCCCAGGAAAUCUAUUGUCAUUCCUUCCACCUAACAGCCAAUCAAACUAAAAUAAACCCGAGGACAACCCAAGUGGAAAGUAUGAAAAGGGGUAUAGGAGAGAGACGUCUUUACUUCAAACAGACUAACAACUAAAAGUAAGGUCCUGGGGAACUUUGGAUAUUAAUUAAUUAACUAAUUUGGGGGUAAUAAAUUCAUCACCAAACGCAGAUUAUGUACUUAAGCAGCGAUGGUGCAGAAGCUGUUUUUCAACGCUUAGAUUCUCCAAAAAAAAAAAAAAAAGGCUUUGAUUCUCAGGGGGCAGAAGACAGAAAGUUACAGUUUUAAAAGCAAAGGAGUAAUAACGGAAAGAUGUAUUGAAAACAGAGUUCACACUAGCUUCUAGUCUUCUCUCCCCAUUGUUUCUAUGCCUUUUGGCUAAGACCAAUCGUAGUCUUUUCGCUCCCCAAGCCUUCACCUGAAACGCCGCCUCUUCACAGCGGCCCCUCCCCGUAACCCGCCCAGUCACAGAGCGCAAGCCCCACCCCCUGGGCUGAGGGCCGGGCAGAAACUCUGGCAAAAUAAGGAAGCCUCUGGGAGCUGGCAAGCAGCCAACUUAAACUGGAUGAUUCCAGUUUAGGCUAGUUUUGAGUCACAAACAAGCAGUUCCUAGCUUUCCCCACAACAUUCAGAGGCACUGGCUGCCCAGGCGGCACACGAUGAGCUCUCCUCAUUUGCUCUCAUUGCUAAGCCUGCCUCGUUCUCAUUUCCCUAGCAGCAGCAGAUCUUAAAUCAAAGCAGGGUUCCCAAUACAGCAAAUACGAUCAGCUCAGCACUUGUUUCCAAGACAGACUGCCUCUUCCACCCAGAACAGUAAUGCAAGCAACACCUACACCUCUCAAAAGCCUUACUGAAAUGCUGUACUUGACAGAAGAAGAAAAAUAGAAAGGACAGAUCUAUUUCUAGAUAUCCGUAAUGGAAGUUAAGCCCACCAGAGCAAUUAGAAAGCAAACACUUCCAUUUUCCAUAUUUGGCAUAAAAAAGGCUUGGCUGGUUAAUAUGACCCUUAAAGACCAAGGUGUGUAGCUUACUGCCCCAAAACAAAGUAUAGCUAUACAGUAGCCUAGAAAGGAAUGUGUUUCCAAAAUUUGGGCUCUUCAGUUUGCCUGCCACUGAUGGGAAUAGAAAAAAAAAUACUACCAUUAAACUAAAACAAAAUAUUUAUAUAAAUUAAUGUGUACUGGUGGGUGUACUUCUCUCCAAAGCACACAAAGCUAAACAUGUAUUGUAUGCUGCUAAACAGCCCCAAAACUACAUUAAUAGGGGGGAAUGAGCAACUGCUACUUCUUUUGGAAAGUAAAAGUACUUAAGGCAGCCCCACUUACAAUGAGACAAAAUAUAAUGUGGAUUUUUUUCCCUUUUUAUGGCAGCACCAGCCACAUAUGGAAGUUCCGGGGCUAGGGAAUGAAUUGGAACUGCAACUGCCAACCUACACCACAGCCACAGCAACAUCCAAGCUGAAGCUUGCAGCAAUGCCGGAUCCUUAACCGCACUGAGCGAGGCCAGGGAUCAAACCCGCAGCCUCACGGACACUACAUUGGGUCCUUAAACCUCUAAACAACAGUGGGAACUCCUUAACUUUCUGGGUUUUUUUUCUUUUUCCACGGCAUCAGCAGCAUAUGGAAGUUCCCAGGCCAGGGAUCAAUUGCCAGCUGCAGGUGCAACCUACACCACAGCUGUGGCAACACUGGAUCCUAAACCCACUGUGCCGGGCAAGGGAUCAAAUCUGAGCCGACUGAAAAGACAUCAGAUCCAUAACCCACUGCACUACAGUGGGAACUCCAAGAAGGUAACUUUUAAAAGAAUUUAUACCCCAAUAUUUUGGGGAAAGAAUAAUCACAUAGUCAAUAAAGCCAUUCAUCACAAAUAAGAGUUGAAAAUUUCAAAAUAAUUUAAUAUCUGGAAAGGUCCAGAGUAAUGAAUACAUUUUAUCCAUAACGCUGAUUUUUGGCAAGACAUUCUCCCUUUUGAUUAUUUCAUGUAUCUAAAAAAAAGUAAAAAUGAGGCAGAAGAAAAUAAUAAAACAGACCAAGAAUGGCUGUGAAAUCCAGAAAUACAUCAGCUACUUAAUAUUUAAAAUGUAAUAUUUCACUCAGACUUAAGAGUAUAGGAGUUCCCACUGUGGCACAGGAGAUGACACUUGUGGCAUAAGUCACAGGUGUGGCUCAGAUUUGAUCCCUGAUCUGGGAACUUCCAUGUGCCACGGGUGUGGCAAAAAAAAAAGUACAUGUUUUCAUUUUAAAUAAAAAAAUUAAGGGCAAAAAUAUAAAGAAACAUCAUUCCUGAGAAUAUCUGUUAUCCUUGACUCUGGCUUCUUUCAAAGGCUUUUUGAUAAAUCUUCACUGUUCCUCCUUGAAAGUCCUCUGAUUCCAAAACAUACACUUUGUUUCUUAUCUCUCAAAUCAAUAAAUAUCUAAUCAUUGAUCAUCGUAUUUUAGUUAAAUUUAUGUUUCAAUGGUCUCUGAGCACAGGUAUCUUCUCUUUACACAUUCAAAAAACAAAAAUACCCUUUUUUUUUUUUUUUUUUUUUUUUUUUUUUGUCUUUUUAGGGCUGCACCUGCAGCACAUGGAGGUUCCCAGGCUAGGGAUUGAAUCAGAGCUGUAGCCGCUGACCUGCAAGCCAAGUCUAAGACCAAGCCGAGUCUGCAACCUACACCACAGCUCACAACAAUGCCAGAUCCUUAACCCACUGAGCAACACCAAGGAUCAAACCUACGUCCUCAUGGAUACUAGUCCUCAUGCUUCCACUGAGCCAUGACAAAAAUACCAUUUCAAUUUAAGCAAUAAGCCAAUUAAAAUUUUUUUUUUUUUUUUUGGCCACACCUGAGGAAUGUGGAAGGUUCCUGGACCAAGAAUUGAACCCUCACCACAGCAGCAAUGCAGUAACAACUCAUUGGGCCACAAGAGAACUCCCAAGACCAGCUUAAUUUCUAUUCUAACUCCAGUCCUAUGCAGCUACAAACAGAAUGGGGCGGCGGGGGGGGGGGGGGGGUCAUGGUUCCUAAUCACCAAUUUCCUCAAAACCAUUUACUUCAAUUAUAUCAUUUUUUCUGAGAUUAAAAGGCAUUAUUUUUAGGAGUUCCCAUUGUAGCACAGUGGAAAUGAAUCUGACUAGUAUCCAUGGGUUUGAUCCCUGGCCUCACUCAGUGGAUUAAGGAUCUGGUGUUCUGUGAGCUGUGGUGUAGGUCACAGAAUUGGCUGGGAUCCUGAGUUGCUGUGGCUGUGGCAUAGGCCAACAACUGCAACUCUGAUUCAACCCCUAGCUUGAAAACUUCCUUAUGCUGCAAAUGCAGCCCUAAAAAAAGCAAAAGCAAAAAA